RNAcentral lists this ribosomal RNA (2909 nucleotides) under Providencia rettgeri. RNAcentral describes it as "23S ribosomal RNA". It matches the Rfam family "Bacterial large subunit ribosomal RNA". The record is from RNAcentral. Lineage: Bacteria; Pseudomonadati; Pseudomonadota; Gammaproteobacteria; Enterobacterales; Morganellaceae.
GGUUAAGCGACUAAGCGUACACGGUGGAUGCCUAGGCAAUCAGAGGCGAUGAAGGACGUGCUAAUCUGCGAUAAGCGUCGGUAAGGUGAUAUGAACCGUUACAACCGACGAUUUCCGAAUGGGGAAACCCAGUGCAAUCCGUUGCACUAUCGUUUGAUGAAUACAUAGUCAAACGAAGCGAACCGGGGGAACUGAAACAUCUCAGUACCCCGAGGAAAAGAAAUCAACCGAGAUUCCCCUAGUAGCGGCGAGCGAACGGGGAGCAGCCCAGAGUCUUAAUCAGCAUUAGCAUCAGGAGAACGGUCUGGAAAGUCCGGCAGUAAAGGGUGAUAGCCCCGUAUCCGAAGGUGUUAGUGUUGUGAACUCGACGAGUAGGGCGGGACACGUGUUAUCCUGUCUGAAUAUGGGGGGACCAUCCUCCAAGGCUAAAUACUCCUGAUUGACCGAUAGUGAACCAGUACCGUGAGGGAAAGGCGAAAAGAACCCCGGCGAGGGGAGUGAAAUAGAACCUGAAACCGUGUACGUACAAGCAGUGGGAGCCUUGAUUUAUCAGGGUGACUGCGUACCUUUUGUAUAAUGGGUCAGCGACUUAUAUUCUGUAGCAAGGUUAACCGUAUAGGGGAGCCGUAGGGAAACCGAGUCUUAACUGGGCGAAUAAGUUGCAGGGUAUAGACCCGAAACCCGGUGAUCUAGCCAUGGGCAGGUUGAAGGUUGGGUAACACUAACUGGAGGACCGAACCGACUAAUGUUGAAAAAUUAGCGGAUGACUUGUGGCUGGGGGUGAAAGGCCAAUCAAACCGGGAGAUAGCUGGUUCUCCCCGAAAGCUAUUUAGGUAGCGCCUCGUGAACUCAUCUUCGGGGGUAGAGCACUGUUUCGACUAGGGGGUCAUCCCGACUUACCAACUCGAUGCAAACUACGAAUACCGAAGAAUGUUAUCACGGGAGACACACGGCGGGUGCUAACGUUCGUCGUGAAGAGGGAAACAACCCAGACCGCCAGCUAAGGUCCCAAAGUCAUAGUUAAGUGGGAAACGAAGUGGGAAGGCUCAGACAGCCAGGAUGUUGGCUUAGAAGCAGCCAUCAUUUAAAGAAAGCGUAAUAGCUCACUGGUCGAGUCGGCCUGCGCGGAAGAUGUAACGGGGCUAAACUAUGCACCGAAGCUGCGGCAGCGAUAUGUAAAUAUUGUUGGGUAGGGGAGCGUUCUGUAAGCCUGUGAAGGUGUGCUGUGAGGCAUGCUGGAGGUAUCAGAAGUGCGAAUGCUGACAUAAGUAACGAUAAUGCGGGUGAAAAACCCGCACGCCGGAAGACCAAGGGUUCCUGUCCAACGUUAAUCGGGGCAGGGUGAGUCGACCCCUAAGGCGAGGCAGAAAUGCGUAGUCGAUGGGAAACGGGUUAAUAUUCCCGUACUGGUGAUAAUUGCGAUGGGGGGACGGAGAAGGCUAGGCUAUCCGGGCGACGGUUGUCCCGGUUUAAGGAUGUAGGCAGGUGAAUUAGGCAAAUCCGGUUCACUACAUGCUGAGGUCCGACGACGAGUCACUACGGUGAUGAAGUAGCUCAUGCCCCGCUUCCAGGAAAAGCCUCUAAGCUCUAGAUUAUCAUUAAUCGUACCCCAAACCGACACAGGUGGUCAGGUAGAGAAUACUCAGGCGCUUGAGAGAACUCGGGUGAAGGAACUAGGCAAAAUGGUGCCGUAACUUCGGGAGAAGGCACGCUGGCAUUAGGUGAAGUGAUUUACUCAUGGAGCUGAAGCCAGUCGCAGAUACCAGCUGGCUGCAACUGUUUAUUAAAAACACAGCACUGUGCAAACACGAAAGUGGACGUAUACGGUGUGACGCCUGCCCGGUGCUGGAAGGUUAAUUGAUGGGGUUAUCCGUAAGGAGAAGCUCUUGAUCGAAGCCCCAGUAAACGGCGGCCGUAACUAUAACGGUCCUAAGGUAGCGAAAUUCCUUGUCGGGUAAGUUCCGACCUGCACGAAUGGCGUAAUGAUGGCCAGGCUGUCUCCACCCGAGACUCAGUGAAAUUGAACUCGCUGUGAAGAUGCAGUGUACCCGCGGCAAGACGGAAAGACCCCGUGAACCUUUACUAUAGCUUGACACUGAACAUUGAGCCUUGAUGUGUAGGAUAGGUGGGAGGCUUUGAAGCGUGGACGCCAGUCUGCGUGGAGCCAACCUUGAAAUACCACCCUUUAAUGUUUGAUGUUCUAACGUUGCCCCAUUAUCUGGGGUGCGGACAGUGUCUGGUGGGUAGUUUGACUGGGGCGGUCUCCUCCCAAAGAGUAACGGAGGAGCACGAAGGUUGGCUAAGCAUGGUCGGACAUCAUGCGGUUAGUGCAAAGGCAUAAGCCAGCUUGACUGCGAGAGUGACGGCUCGAGCAGGUACGAAAGUAGGUCUUAGUGAUCCGGUGGUUCUGAAUGGAAGGGCCAUCGCUCAACGGAUAAAAGGUACUCCGGGGAUAACAGGCUGAUACCGCCCAAGAGUUCAUAUCGACGGCGGUGUUUGGCACCUCGAUGUCGGCUCAUCACAUCCUGGGGCUGAAGUAGGUCCCAAGGGUACGGCUGUUCGCCGUUUAAAGUGGUACGCGAGCUGGGUUUAGAACGUCGUGAGACAGUUCGGUCCCUAUCUGCCGUGGGCGUUGGAAGAUUGAAAGGGGCUGCUCCUAGUACGAGAGGACCGGAGUGGACGCACCACUGGUGUUCGGGUUGUCAUGCCAAUGGCAUUGCCCGGUAGCUAAGUGCGGAAGAGAUAACCGCUGAAAGCAUCUAAGCGGGAAACUUGCCUUGAGAUGAGUCUUCCCUGACUCUUUAAGAGUCCUAAAGGAACGUUUAAGACUAAGACGUUGAUAGGUUGGGUGUGUAAGCGUAGCGAUACGUUGAGCUAACCAAUACUAAUGAACCGUGAGGCUUAACCUG